RNAcentral lists this ribosomal RNA (255 nucleotides) under uncultured bacterium. Its description in RNAcentral is "partial 16S ribosomal RNA". It matches the Rfam family "Bacterial small subunit ribosomal RNA", at positions 524 to 776 of the family's 1533-position model. The record is from RNAcentral.
UACGUAGGGUGCAAGCGUUGUCCGGAAUUAUUGGGCGUAAAGAGCUCGUAGGCGGUUUGUCGCGUCGGCUGUGAAAGCCCGGAGCUCAACUCCGGGUCUGCAGUCGAUACGGGCAGACUUGAGUGUUGUACGGGGAGACUGGAAUUCCUGGUGGUAGCGGUGAAAUGCGCAGAUAUCAGGAAGAACACCCGUGGCUAAGGCGGCUCUCUAGUACGGUACUGACGCUGAGACGCGAAAGCGUGGGGAGCGAACAGG